RNAcentral lists this long non-coding RNA (5293 nucleotides) under Equus caballus (horse). RNAcentral's name for it is "lncRNA (ENSECAG00000046894.1)". Lineage: Eukaryota; Metazoa; Chordata; Mammalia; Perissodactyla; Equidae. The record is from RNAcentral.
UAAGAAAUAACUGCCUCUCAAUAGUGCUCUUACAUCUACCGGGAACAUCUCUCACAAAGAUCUGUGAAACGCAGUUUCUUCCCAGCCUUGAUCUUGCUGAAGUAGAACUUCUGUUCUGCCGUGUCCUACAUUGCCCUAGAGUUGCAAGGCAAAAUGUCCUGCAUUGUUUCCUAAAGGCAGGCAAACCAGAAAGCAUCUUGCUUCCAGCUGGUUUGGAAGGUAAGAAGCAACUCACUCUCCACAGUGCUCUUAGAGCCUACCGUGAACAUCUCUUACAAAGGCCUGUGAAACGCACUUUCUUCCCAUCCCUGAUCUGGCUGAAGAAGACCUUCAGCUCUGUGGUGUAAUACAUUGCCCUAGAGGUGGAAGUCACAAAGCCCUGCCUGGCAAACUCAAGAGGAGACAGGCCACAGACUCUCUUGAUUCCAUCUCUUUUGCAAUUUGAGAAAGAUCUCACUUUUCCCUGGGCUGUUACAGCCUGCCGGGAACCUCUAAUACAAAGACCUGAAACACAGUUUGUUUCCAGCCCUGAUCUCACCCCGUAGGAACAUCUGCUCUGAGCCGUGUUCCACAUUGCUCUAGAGGUGGAAGUCUCACAGCGCUGAUUCAUUGCCUCCAAAGUAGACAGGCCACAAACCGUCUUGCUUGAAGCUUUUUGGGAAGCUAAGAAACAACAGGCUCUCCACAGUGCUCUUACACCCAACCAAAAAAUCUCUCACAAAGGCCUGUGAAACGCAGUUUCUUCCCAGCCCUGAUGUCGCUGAAGUAGAACUUCUGCUCUGCCGUGUCCUACAUUGCAUUACAGGUGCAAGGCAAAAAAUCCUGUCUUGAUUCCUCAACAGGAGCCAGGACAAAAAUUGUCUUGCUUCCAGUUCUUGGGGAAGCUAAGAAACAACUCGCUCUCCACAGAGCUCUUACAGCCUACCGGGAAAAUCUCUUACAAAGGCCUGUGAAACGCAGUUUCUUUCCAGCACUGAUUUCACUGAAGUAGAACUUCUGCUGUGCCGUGUCCUACAUUGCCCUAGAGGUGCAAGGCACAAUGGCCUGCCUGUCUUCCUUAAGAGGAGACAGGCCACAGGCUGUCUCGACUCAAGCUCUUUGGCAGGGUGAGAAAGAAGUCGCUUUCCACAGGGCUCUUACAGCCUACCGGGAACCUCUCAUUCAAAGGCCUGAAAUGCAGUUUGCAGCCAUGAUCUCACCGCCUCGGAACUUCUGCUCUAUGCCAUGUUCUACAUUGCUCUAGAGGUGGAAGACACAAAGCGCUGUGUCCUUGCCGCCAAAUGAGACAAGCCUCAAACGGCCUUGCUAUCAGCUAUUUCGGAAGCUAAGAAACACCUCGCUCGCCACAGUGCUCUUACAGCCUACCAGGAACAUCUCUCACAUAUCCUGUGAAACGCAGUUUCUUCCCAUCCAUGAUCUCAUUGAAGUAGAACUUCUGCUCUGCUGUGUAAUACAUUACCCUAGAGGUGGAAGUCACAAAGCGCUGAGUCAUUCCCACCAAAGGAGACAAGCCACAAACGGUCUUUCUUCCAGCUGUUUGGGAAGCUAAGAAACAAGUCACUCUCCACAGUGCUCUUACAGCCUACUGGGAACAUCUCUUACAAAGGCCUGUGAAAUGCAGUUUCUUCCCAGCCCUGAUAUCACUGAAGUGGAACUUUUGCUCUGUCGUGUCCUACAUUGCCCGAGACAUGCAAGGCACAAUUUCCUGGCUUGUUUCCUCAAGGGAAGGCAGGCCACAAAGCGUCUUGCUUCCACUCUCUGGGAAGCUAAGAAACAACUCGCUCUCCACAGUGCUCUUACAGCAUACCGGGAAGAUCUCUUACAAAGGCCUGUGAAACGCAGUUUCUUCCCAGUCCUGAUCUCGCUUAAGUUGAACUUCUGCUCUGCCGUGCAAUACAUUGCCCUAGAGGUGGAAGUCCCAAACCCUGCCUGGCAUCCUCAAGAGGAUACAGGCCACAGAUCAUCUUGCUUCCAGCUCUUUCGCAAUGUGAGAAGGAACUCGUUUUACACUGGGCUAUUACAGCCUACCGGAAACAUCUAAUAUAAAGACCUGUAAUGCAGUUUGUUUACAGCCCUGAUCUCGCAGCCUUGGAAAUUCAUCUCUAAGUCGUGUUCUACAUUGCUCUAGAGGUGGAAGUGACAAAGCGCUGAGUCUUUGCCGCCAAAGGACACAAGCCACAAAUGGUCUUGCUUCCAGCUCUUUGGGAAGCUAAGAAACAAAUCGCUCUCCACAAAGCUCUUACAGCCUACUGGGAACAUCUCUCACAAAGGCCUGUGAAAUGCAGUUCUUCCCAGCCCUGAUGUCGCUGAAGUAGAACUUCUGCUCUGCCGUUUCAUACAUUGCCCUAGAGUUGGAAGUCACAAUGACCUGCCUGACUUCCUUAAGAGGAGACAGGCGACAGACCGUCUCCUUCCAGCUCUUUGGCAAGGAGAGAAAGAACUCGCUUUCCUCAGGGCUCUUACAGCCUACCGGGAACCUCUCAUAAAACGGCCUGAAAUGCAGUUUGUUUCCACUCGUUAUCUAACUGCCUUGGAAGAUCUGCUCUAAGCCAUGUCCUACAUUGCUGUAGAGGUGGAAGACACCAAUCCUUGCAUCAUUUCCGCCAAAGGUGACAAGCCACAAGCGUCCUUGCUUACAGCUCUUAUGGAAGCUAAGAAACAAUUCGCUCUCCACAGUGCUCUUACAUCCUACUGGGAACAUCUCUCACAAAGGUCUGUGAAACCCAGUUUCUUUCCAGCCCUGAUGUCGCUGAAGUAGAACUUCUGCUCUGCUGUGUCCCACAUUGCCCUAUAGGUGGAAGUCACAAAGCCCUGUCUGGCUAUCUUAAGAGGAGACAGGCCACAGAAAGUCUUGCUUCCAGCUGUUUCAGAUUUGAGAAAGAACUCGCUUUCACCUGGGUUCCUACAGCCUACCCGGAACCUCUCAUACAAAGUCCUGAAACGCAGUUUGUUUCCAGCCCUGAUAUCUCUGCCUUGGAGCUAUUGCUCUACCCAUGUCCUACACUGCUCUAGAGGUGGAAGUGACAAAGCGCUGAGUCAUUGACCCCAAAGGAGACAAUCCACAAAUGGUCUUGCUUCCAGCUCUUGGGAAGCUAAGAAACAAGUCGCUCUCAACAGUGCUCUUACAGCCUACCUGGAGCAUCUCUCACAAAGGCCUGUGAAACGCAGUUUCUUUCCAGCCCUGAACUCGCUGAACUAGAACUUCUGCUCUGCCGUGUCCUACAUUGACCUAGAGUUGCAAGGCACAAAGUCCGGCCUUGUUUCUUCAAGGGGAGACAGGCCACAAAGCUUCUUGCAUACAGCACUUUGGGAAGCUAAGAAACUCCUCGUUCUACUCAGUGCUCUUACAGCCUACCGGGAACAUCACUCACACAGGCCUGUGAAACGCACUUUCUUCCCACGCCUGAUCUCACUGAAGUAGACCUUCUGCUCUGCCGUGUCCUACAUUGUGCAAGAGGUGGAAGUCACAAUGGCCUGCCUGACUUCCUUAAGAGGAGACAGGCCACAGACCCUCACAUACAGCUCUUUGGCAUGGUGAGAAAGAACUCACUUUCCACAGGGCUCUUACCGCCUACCAUGAACCUCUCAUACAAAGGCCUGAAAUGCAGUUUGUUUCCAGACAUGAUCUCACCGCCUUGGAACUUCAGCUCUCAGCCAUGUCCCACAUUGCUCUAGAGAUGGACGACACAAAGCGCUGAGUCAUUGCCACCAAAGGAGACAAACCACAAACGGUCUUGCUUCCAGCUCUUUGGGAAGCUAAGAAACAACUCGCUCUCCACAGUGCUCUUACAGCCUAGCAGGAACAUCUCUCACAAAGGCCUGUGAAAGGCCUUUUCUUCCCAGCCCUGAUCUCGCUGAAGUAGAACUUCUUCUCUGCAGGCUCGUACAUUGUCCUGUAGGUGCAAGGCACAAAGUCCUGCCUUGUUUCCUCAAGGGGAGACAGGUCACAAAGCCUCUUGCUUCCAGCUCUUUCACAACGUGACAAAUAACUCGCUUUCCCCUGGGCUCUUACAGUCUAUAGGCAAGUUCUGAUACAAAGACCUGAAAUGCAGUUUGUUUCCAUCCCAGUUCUGGGCGUCUUGGUACUUCUACUCGAAGUCAUGUCCUACAUUGCUCUAGAGGUGGAAGAGACAAAGCUAUGAGUCAUUACUUCGAAAGAAGACAAACCACAAACGGUCUCGCUUCCAGCUCUUUGGGAAGCUAAGAAACAACUCGGUCUCCACAGUACUCUUAAAGCCUACCGGGAACAUCUCUUACAAAGUCCUGAGAAACGCAGUUUCUUCCCAGCCCUGAUGUCGCUGAAGUAGAUCUUCUGCUCUGCAAUGUCCUACAUAGCUCUAGAGGUGGAAGUGACAAAGCUAUGAGUCAUUGCCUCCAAAGGAGACAAGCCACAAAGGGUCUUUCUUCCAGCUAUGGGAAGCUAACAAACAAUGGGCUCUCCAUAGUGCUCUUACAGCCUACCAGGCACAUCUCUUACAAAGGCCUGUGAAACGCAAUUUCUUUCCGUCCCUGAUAUCCCUGACGUAGAACUUCUGAGCUGCUGUGUCCUACAUUGCCCUAGAGGUCCAAGGCACAAAGUCAGGCCUUGUUUCCUCAGUGGAAGAGAGGUCACAAAGCUUCUCGUUUCCAGCUAUUUGGGAAGCUAAGAAAUAACUCGCUCUCCACAGUGCUCUUACAGCCUACUGGGAACAUCUCUUACAAAGGCCCGUGAAACACAGUUUCUUCCCAGCCACGAUCUCACUGAAGUAGAACUUCUGCUCUGCCGUGUAAUACAUUGGCCUAGUGGUGGAAGUCACAAAGCCCUGCCUGGCUUCCUUAAGCAGAGACAGGCCACAGACCAUCUUUCUUCCAGCUCUUUCACAAGGUGAGAAAGAACUCGCUUUCCCCUGGGCUCUAACAGCCUAUCGGGAAAUUCUGAUACAAAGACCUGAAGUACAGUUUGUUUCCACCCCAGUUCUCACCGCCUUGGAACUUCUGCUCUGCCAUGACCUACAAUGCUCAAGAGGUGGAAGUGACAAAGCUAUGAGUCAUUGCCUCCAAAGGAGACGAGCCACAAAUGGUCUCAAUUUCAGGUCUUUGGGAAGCUAAGAAACAACAUGCUCUCCACAGUGCUCUUAAAGCCUACUGGGAACGUCUCCUACAAAAGCCUGUGAAAUGCAGUUUCUUCCCAGCCCUGAUCUCGCUGAAGUAGAACUUCUGCUCUGCGAUGUAAUAGAUUUCCCUAGAGGUGGAAGUCACAAUGGCCUGCCUGCCUUCCUUAAGAGGAGACAGGCCAUAGACCAUCUCUCUUCCA